RNAcentral lists this ribosomal RNA (519 nucleotides) under uncultured eukaryote. RNAcentral describes it as "SSU rRNA". It matches the Rfam family "Eukaryotic small subunit ribosomal RNA", at positions 21 to 549 of the family's 1831-position model. The record is from RNAcentral.
UAGUCAUAUGCUUGUCUCAAAAACUCCCCCAUGCAUGUCUAAGUAUAAAUGAUAUACAGUGAAACUGCGAAUGGCUCAUUAAAACAGUUAUAGUUUAUUUGGUAAUCAAAUUUACAUGGAUAACCGUGGUAAUUCUAGAGCUAAUACAUGCUGUAAAGCCCGACUUCGCGAAAGGGCCGUAUUUAUUAAAUAACAAACCAAUAUUCCUCGUGUCUAUUGGGGUGAAUCAUAGUAACUAAUCGGAUCGCAUGGGCUAGUCCCGCGACAAACCAUUCAAGUUUCUGCCCCAUCACCUUUCGAUGGUAGUGUAUUGAACUACCAUGGCUUUUACGGGUAACGGAGGAUUAGGGUUCGAUUCCGGAGAGGGAGCCUGAGAAACGGCUACCACAUCUAAGGAAGGCAGCAGGCGCGUAAAUUACCCAAUCCUAAUUCAGGGAGGUAGUGACAAGAAAUAACGGGUCGGGGCUCUGCCCCGGGACUGCAGUGAGAUGAAUUUACACCCCUUUUCAAGUAACAAUU